This 1934-nucleotide long non-coding RNA is filed under the name Theobroma cacao (cacao). RNAcentral's name for it is "long non-coding RNA (TCAC_LNC006040)". The record is from RNAcentral. Lineage: Eukaryota; Viridiplantae; Streptophyta; Magnoliopsida; Malvales; Malvaceae.
UAAGUAAAAUAUUCUAUUUUCUUAUAAAACAAUAUUUAUAGAGUUAUACGUAAAUAAUUUUUGUAACGUAAAAGCUAAAUAAAUUCAUACAUACUGUAAUACAGUAAGUCAGAGUAUGUAAUUUAAUUUACAAUAACAAGAGGGCCCCCGAAUAAAUAAAAGUAAAGAGGAUUGUGAACCUACAGUUUGGAAAAUGCAUAUCUAACGAUAGUCCUCGAUGAGAUCAGCUAUCUACAGUCUAUACUGAACCUGAAAUGGAUGGAAAGGAGGGUGGUGAGAUUAUAAAAUCUCAAUAAGUAAACAGACAUCAUCAUAAACAUUUAGAGUUGAGUACAUGGAGACAAUAAAGUAAAUCAUCGUAAACUUGGUCACAGUAUUAGAAUACAUUCAUUUAAAAUACGUGAAGAGACUUAUGAAUCUCAUAAAAACUAGGCUUAUGCCAUAAAUUCAUUCUCAGGGACACCUUGGCCAAGGCAUCCUACCAAGACCGCCAAGGCUAUUAAAAUUCACAUUUCACAUAAAUCAUGUUUUUGUUUUGAAAACAUAGCUGUUCUUUGGAGUUGGCUGAAGUCCCCCUCACGUGGUGGUUUGGCGUGAAGUGAACCCUAAGCUUUACCCCAGGAGAUACCCUACACGCCUCUCUGUUUGAGGUAAGAAUAAAAUGGGGUUUACCGUACCCGUCUAAAAGGCUGGUCCACAGAAACCCCAUACUGUAGUGAUUAAUUAAUGUAUAAUCCACCAUAUAAUAAAAUUUUGACGGCAUGAUAGGUAUAAUGAAAUACUACACAACCUGCAAGGGUAAAAUAAAACAAUUCAUACAAUUCAUAAAACACAGUCCAGCCAGUCAUGCCAACACAAUAACAAUAUAACAUAAGCCAUCAAUUUAAACAAUCAAAUUGCCACAAUUAACAGUCUCCGUGUACUCUAUUUUUUCAAAAUCAUUAUUAGUUUCAAAACAAUUUAUAAUUUAAUUUCAUUGGAUCACCUUUAUUCAUAAAACAUGAAAAUUUACCUUUUAAAUCUAUUUUUCCAUAGAAUUCAUGAAAUCAUCUAAAAAUCACUCUAAAUAAUUAAAAUGAUAGUAAGUUUACUCACAAUGUCUAGAAUGCAGACUUUCAAAGUACUCUGUCUACUGGUCCUCAGAUGCAAUUUUCUUACCUUUAUCGGAGGACUCACUACCUUGACACAGUACAAAAUUGAAAAAUUCACCACAUUGAUACUAAAUUGAAAUUAAACUAAUUUAGGCUACUAAUGCAUGAUAUGGAAUGCAAAAAUGUCCGAAUAGCCGUUUAAAUACGGUAUUCGACCUAAUUCGCACUAUUCUCGAUUUAAUCGACUAAAAUCUUCAAUUUAACUCCAAAUCGAUUCUUUUCACUUUUUACACUCCAAUUAUACCUAAAUUACCUCAGUGACUGUGAAUGAGGUUCAAUUUAUCGGUCUUAAGUCAAUAAUUACACAUGUCUAUAUGUUGAGCAAAAAUUCAUAUUUUCGCACCAAAAUUUCUCAUUUAAUUUCUAGCCUCACUAAACAUCAAAUAUCAUCAAAAUAUCAUGAAAUAUCAUCAAAUUCAGUCACAAUAUUUUCCCUAGGAAAUUCGACCAAUGAUGGUAAUGGGGGAAAAUGAAUUCUUUUCUUGUUGUUUUGUUUCUAAAUAUGCUAAACUAACUUAAAACACUAACAUAACUUAAAAUCAAAUCAAUCUAACUUCAUUCUCUCUCCAUAUCCAUUUGGAAAGCCAUGAAUUCACCAUGAAAAUAUGAAAUCUAACCAUGGAAAAUAAGGAGAAAAGCAUGGGAAAGGUAGAUCACAAGUCAAAAUCAAGAAAUUUUACCUUUGAUUGCUUGAUUCCUUGAAAUCUCACACUUUGUCUUUAAUUUUCCUUCUUAGGUUUCUUGUUUUUCUUUUCCUCUCUUUGUUCUUGCUAUGGCCGGCCA